This 30-nucleotide non-coding RNA is filed under the name Mus musculus (house mouse). The record is from RNAcentral. Lineage: Eukaryota; Metazoa; Chordata; Mammalia; Rodentia; Muridae.
UGUCCCUAGUUCUACUGUUCUACAGGUUGU